ACUCCUACGGGAGGCAGCAGUGGGGAAUAUUGCACAAUGGGGGAAACCUUGAUGCAGCCAUGCCGCGUGUGUGAAGAAGGCCUUCGGGUUGUAAAGCACUUUCAGUAGGGAGGAAGGUAGUGUAGUUAACACCUGCAUUAUUUGACGUUACCUACAGAAGAAGCACCGGCUAACUCCGUGCCAGCAGCCGCGGUAAUACGGAGGGUGCGAGCGUUAAUCGGAAUUACUGGGCGUAAAGCGCAUGCAGGCGGCCUGUUAAGUCAGAUGUGAAAGCCCGGGGCUUAACCUCGGAAUUGCAUUUGAAACUGGCAGGCUAGAGUCUUGUAGAGGGGGGUAGAAUUUCAGGUGUAGCGGUGAAAUGCGUAGAGAUCUGAAGGAAUACCAGUGGCGAAGGCGGCCCCCUGGACAAAGACUGACGCUCAGAUGCGAAAAGCGUGGGGAGCAAACAGGAUUAGAUACCCUGGUAGGAUAGCG
Molecule: ribosomal RNA, 474 nt
Filed under: uncultured bacterium
Lineage: Bacteria
Description: bacterial SSU rRNA
Rfam family: Bacterial small subunit ribosomal RNA
Source: RNAcentral